Molecule: ribosomal RNA, 495 nt
Filed under: uncultured bacterium
Lineage: Bacteria
Description: partial 16S ribosomal RNA
Rfam family: Bacterial small subunit ribosomal RNA
Source: RNAcentral
GAUGAACGCUGGCGGCGUGCCUAAUACAUGCAAGUCGAGCGAACAGACGAGGAGCUUGCUCCUCUGACGUUAGCGGCGGACGGGUGAGUAACACGUGGAUAACCUACCUAUAAGACUGGGAUAACUUCGGGAAACCAGCUAAUACCGGAUAAUAUAUUGAACCGCAUGGUUCAAUAGUGAAAGACGGUUUUGCUGUCACUUAUAGAUGGAUCCGCGCCGCAUUAGCUAGUUGGUAAGGUAACGGCUUACCAAGGCAACGAUGCGUAGCCGACCUGAGAGGGUGAUCGGCCACACUGGAACUGAGACACGGUCCAGACUCCUACGGGAGGCAGCAGUAGGGAAUCUUCCGCAAUGGGCGAAAGCCUGACGGAGCAACGCCGCGUGAGUGAUGAAGGUCUUCGGAUCGUAAAACUCUGUUAUUAGGGAAGAACAAAUGUGUAAGUAACUAUGCACGUCUUGACGGUACCUAAUCAGAAAGCCACGGCUAACUACGUG